Molecule: long non-coding RNA, 255 nt
Filed under: Malus domestica (apple)
Lineage: Eukaryota; Viridiplantae; Streptophyta; Magnoliopsida; Rosales; Rosaceae
Description: long non-coding RNA (MDOM_LNC010105)
Source: RNAcentral
GGAGGUGAGCGGAGAGUGGGAGUAUGACUCUUUUCCUGAGCUGCGUGUCCCGACUACCUUUAUCAAUGGUAAGUGAACUACUUCAUUCUUGUCCUCCUUGAAUUUUUGUUGAGCUGCUUCAUGACUUCAAUUUAUUGAUCGUCUUUCUUAUUUUGCAUAGAUUCGGAGUUUGGCUCAACUCCAAGGACUUCGAAAGAUAUGAAGAAAGUGUACGUCGCCUUGGGCAUUCAUGUUGAGUACCGUGAGUGGUGCUGG